Molecule: long non-coding RNA, 583 nt
Filed under: Cricetulus griseus (Chinese hamster)
Lineage: Eukaryota; Metazoa; Chordata; Mammalia; Rodentia; Cricetidae
Description: lncRNA (ENSCGRG00000025697.1)
Source: RNAcentral
UGGGCUUCUUCCCAUGCUCUCUGACCUCAAGCCAGCUCCCCAAGGUCUGGCCACUCUCAAAUUCCCCAGUGGGGGUGUUUCUUGGUGCCUUUGGUCUCUUUUGCCACUUCCCUGACCACCACUCCAUUCUAGGGAUGCCAGGCCCUGGGUGUUGCCAAUGGAGUCUGGUUUUCAGGGCCUCGCCUUCCCUGCUGGCUUCCUGCUCCCACCUGCUGCGACUCUGACACCAGUCUCUGUCUUCACACCAGGAAAUGUCCCCGGAGAGCCAGUUACUCCCCACUGGGUCCUGGAUGGAGGACUCUGGCUCAAGGUCACUCUGGAGGAGCCGGUCUUGAAGCCCGAUGUGGUGCUGGUGGCUUUAGAGGCUGAAGGCCAGGAUCUCCUGCUUGAAUUGGAGAAGAACCAGUGAGUAUCAGCCUGGGGUUUGGCUGAAGCCCAGGACAGACCCUCUCCAGAGAGGAUCAGUGCUUUUGUGGGGAGGCUGGGUGGGAAGAGGCAUGAGUUACAGAGGGAAUGGCUAAUGUACUUGAGGUUAAAGUGGGCUGAACCCAGCUGUAGGUAUAAACAUGCUUUCCAUCUCAAA